Bombus pyrosoma is the source of this 1833-nucleotide RNA transcript. It is a transcript of the gene named endoplasmic reticulum junction formation protein lunapark-A-like, with no coding region annotated. NCBI's taxonomy places the organism in Eukaryota, Metazoa, Arthropoda, Insecta, Hymenoptera, Apidae. The transcript is spliced from 9 exons. The record is from RefSeq and is a predicted model, not a curated record.
GAAACAUGUGUAGGAAGGAAAAAGAACCUAUUAUAUUUUCAAAGUUUCGUCUAAAUUAAAGGUCGUUCUCGUGAGAAUAGCUGAAAUUAUUUUUUAUAAGUAUUUAUAAUAAUAUUUUUAGUGAUAUAUAAUAUUAACAUAUAUUUUAUUUAUUUCUUCGCAUUUCUUUCUUAUCGAUGCACAAGCCGAGUCAUUAUUCUAUAACAUAUACAUACAAUGUACAGUUGUUCGUAUCAGUUUGAUUUGUAGUUUCAAACGGAGCGUAUCUCGACUGGUGAAUACCCGAUAGGAACGAACACGAAAUAAUAAUGAACGUAACUUAAUACACAUUUUAAUUGAAAACAAUAUAUUUACGCUCAAUUGAUUUAUUCAACAGAAAGUGACAAGUGAAAAGAAAAAUUUUUGAUAUCUACUAAUUUACCGAGAUAUUAUUUAAGCAUUAAAUGAACACCCUGUGCCAUAAAAGUACUUUUUUAUAAAGGUCAUGACAAAUAUGUUAGAAAUCAUGACAGUUAUAAAUAUUGAAACUGUAAACAUCGAAACAAAACAUAAAGUGAUUUAAGUUUAAAUUUGGAUCGAUCGGCACCAACGGUUGGUUAAGAUGGGAAUCUUGUUUAGAUUUUUAUCAAGAUUUGACAGGAAGAAAACAACAAUUGAAAUUUUGGAGGAUCUUGAUGUGAAAAUUAAAGAGAUAGAAAGAUAUGGAUAUAGUACAGAACAAAGACAUAAAAAAAUUGUUGGAACUCUGAUAUUAUAUAGCGUGAUACUUUAUAUUAUAACGGCAUUCAUUUUUUACUUCUAUUUCUUCCCUGCAUCACUGUAUGAUCAAAUAUUUUAUAUCAUCCCACUGUUAAUUUUUCCCAUUCUCAUAUUGCUUACAAAAAAGAUGGUAACGUGGUAUUAUAAAUGUAAAAUUUCUAAAAAUCAAGAUAGAUUAAGUAGUAUGCAAUCUGAAAAAAAGAAAAUUUUAGAUCAAGUUGCAGAGAUUGAAACAUAUAAAAAAGCUAAAGAAAUUCUGUUAAAAUUUGCACCUGAUCAAUUAAAACCGACUCCACCUGCAAUAGAAAUUCCUCAACAAUCUAGUACACCACAAUGUAUAAAAUCUGCUAUAUCUCCUUUUGGGGAACUGAGGAAGCGUGUAAUAUUAAGUCAAAAUCAAGCACUAAAUGCGCAAAGCUGUGUACCUUCUAACAGUUACCCUGUCCCAGUUGGCAUAACUCCUGUUCGCAAUUUACCAAAUGCUCCUGUUCAGAAUAAUGAUAAACUACUCAAUACUCCAAAUUGGAAUCAUAGGUCUCCUUUAUUAUGUUCAUCAAUUUUACCACGUCCAAUAUUAUCACCGCAAAGGACUAAUUUGGAUCGAAUAAUUGAUUAUCUCGUUGGGGAUGGUCCAUCUAAUCGAUAUGCAUUAAUUUGUCGAGGUUGUGAGUCGCACAAUGGAAUGGCUCUUAAAGAGGAAUUUGAAUAUUUUGGAUUUAAAUGUUGUUACUGCAACUUUUGGAAUCCUGCAAGGAAGCAGAAGCUAUCUGCUCCAAAACUAAAAUCCAAUAUUACACUUAGUAAUCCAUCUUUAAACAAUUCUGAACAUUUAUCAACUAACAUUAGUACAGAACUUUUGGAAGAUGGACAAGCCGAAUCAAAGGGUACAUCUGAUUCAGGUUUGAAAGGAAAAUAAUACGUGAUCUUAUGGAUUUAGAUAUGAAAGCAGUUGAAAGAUCUACAGAAACAUUGAAAGAAAUUGAAUCUAUUACUGAAUCAGAAGAAAGUACAUGUGACUAACUAGAUACUACGAGAUCGGAACGAAAAGAAGUACAUAAUCGUGAAGAAAGCAUA